UUGACAAUCUUAUCGUGAAGGCAUACUUUCAGGAGUGAGGGUAGAGCGGGGUUUCCCCCGCCCUAGUAGUCUUAGUAUGCUGGGUAGCUAAUCACUAAGAGCACCACGAUGAUGAGUAGCUUCAUCAUGACCCUUUCCUUAUU
RNAcentral lists this small RNA (143 nucleotides) under Escherichia coli O26:H11 str. 2010C-3051. Its description in RNAcentral is "QUAD RNA". It matches the Rfam family "Short Intergenic Abundant RNA". From Rfam's summary of the family: This family contains multiple ncRNA from E. coli that were identified in a large scale screen of E. coli, were they were called candidates 43,55 and 61. Lineage: Bacteria; Pseudomonadati; Pseudomonadota; Gammaproteobacteria; Enterobacterales; Enterobacteriaceae. The record is from RNAcentral.